Myotis davidii is the source of this 168-nucleotide non-coding RNA. NCBI's taxonomy places the organism in Eukaryota, Metazoa, Chordata, Mammalia, Chiroptera, Vespertilionidae. The record is from Rfam.
CAAUGUUGUUUGCUUUGGAAAUGUCUCCUAGUUCAGGGAGAGCAAUACUAGUACAUGUAGCAACAUUAUCAAAGCCGGGAGCUAUACUUACUUAACUUUAUACUAUAGCAUCUUUAUCAGAGGUGCAUAUUUAAAGCACAAAGGAAACCUUGCUUUUCUGAAAGAAUG